UACGGAGGGUGCAAGCGUUAUCCGGAAUCACUGGGUUUAAAGGGUGCGUAGGCGGCUAUGUAAGUCAGUUGUGAAAUACCUCGGCUUAACCGAAGGAAGUGCGAUUGAUACUGCGUAGCUUGAAUCAGGUUGAGGUAGGCGGAAUGUGACAUGUAGCGGUGAAAUGCUUAGAUAUGUCAUAGAACACCGAUUGCGAAGGCAGCUUACUGGGCUUUGAUUGACGCUGAGGAGCGAAAGCGUGGGGAGCGAACAGG
RNAcentral lists this ribosomal RNA (254 nucleotides) under uncultured bacterium. RNAcentral's name for it is "partial 16S ribosomal RNA". It matches the Rfam family "Bacterial small subunit ribosomal RNA", at positions 524 to 776 of the family's 1533-position model. The record is from RNAcentral.